CCACCCACUUCUUUCCAAGGACACACUUUGUUCUAAAUCCCAACGGCUUCACUCUCCCUCGAACACACAAAAAGAGCAGGAAGCUGCACCUAGGUUGUUAGCGUGAGCUGCGUGCGAUCUCUCUCUGAGCCCAAGAUGAAAGAAGUAAAAGGAAAGGAAGCGCUCAAUGUGAAGCUUGCAUUUGGAGCACUCUCCAGGAGACCUAAGUGAGAGAGGAAAGGCAGAAGAGUGUGCAGAAGGACAAGGGACUGGAUAGGUGACAUGGCUGACACACAGGUGUAUAUUUAGGACAAAGACACGGAAAAAACUGCUGAUCUGCAUCGGGGUGGGUGUCACCUUUUAUGACAUUUUUUAAUUUGAAUGUAUUACGGUGGUUUUCCCUAAAAUUGACAACUAAUAUGUAAAAAUACAUAUAUUAAAAAUUGCCUGAGAAAGACA
Molecule: long non-coding RNA, 438 nt
Organism: Ictidomys tridecemlineatus (thirteen-lined ground squirrel)
Lineage: Eukaryota; Metazoa; Chordata; Mammalia; Rodentia; Sciuridae
Source: RefSeq, a predicted model, not a curated record